Molecule: ribosomal RNA, 253 nt
Filed under: uncultured bacterium
Lineage: Bacteria
Description: partial 16S ribosomal RNA
Rfam family: Bacterial small subunit ribosomal RNA
Source: RNAcentral
UACGGAGGGGGCUAGCGUUGUUCGGAAUUACUGGGCGUAAAGCGCGCGUAGGCGGCUUUGUAAGUUAGAGGUGAAAGCCCGGAGCUCAACUCCGGAAUUGCCUUUAAGACUGCAUCGCUAGAAUCAUGGAGAGGUUAGUGGAAUUCCGAGUGUAGAGGUGAAAUUCGUAGAUAUUUGGAAGAACACCAGUGGCGAAGGCGACUAACUGGACAUGUAUUGACGCUGAGGUGCGAAAGCGUGGGGAGCAAACAGG